UUUAACACCAAUUAAGCUGACCUGAGCAGCUGAUCAAGGAUCACCAGAAACUGCAGAACUUUGGUCCUCAAUGCCCAGGACUGGAAACCAGAGUUUUACAGUUAAAUAAAACCAAAAGCCAUUCAGCCACAGGUCACUGCAUCUUUUGCUGUAUGCUGGAGAAAAAGCAGCCAGGCUAAAGCAUUUAAAGUGGAAAUUUUUGUUGUGGCUCAAAAAUCCAGGAUUGGGAUGGUGGAAGGAGCAGAAGAAGCAGAAGACCAGAGAUCAGGCAGAGAUCUACUGAUGCCCCUGAGGGAACCGAUAAACUAAUGUGUUAGUUAAACCAAAAAUUUUAAGCGCUCACCUUCAUGUCUUUCCAAACCUGUAAAACUUUUGGUCAUCUUUGAAACAUAAAUGUAGAUCUUUUUAAUAAAAUCUGAGAAAUUUCUGUCCCUCUAUUUCACAGUUUAAGCAACUACCACUUUCGAGCCUCAGAAAGGUAGUAUAGACAGCAUUAAAGUAAUCUAUGUGACUCCAGUUGUUUAACCUUAAGUUUAUGAAGUGAUGUGAAUGGUUUAUAUGCACAAAAAACAUUGCAUUUUUAUUCACACAUAAAAAAAAAAAAUCUUAUGGUGCUGUUGUGAAAAU
Long non-coding RNA from Labeo rohita (rohu), 627 nucleotides. RefSeq lists it as uncharacterized. NCBI's taxonomy places the organism in Eukaryota, Metazoa, Chordata, Actinopteri, Cypriniformes, Cyprinidae. The record is from RefSeq and is a predicted model, not a curated record. The transcript has 3 exons.